This 393-nucleotide ribosomal RNA is filed under the name uncultured bacterium. Its description in RNAcentral is "partial 16S ribosomal RNA". It matches the Rfam family "Bacterial small subunit ribosomal RNA", at positions 523 to 918 of the family's 1533-position model. The record is from RNAcentral.
AUACGGAGGAUCCGAGCGUUAUCCGGAUUUAUUGGGUUUAAAGGGUGCGUAGGCGGCCUUUUAAGUCAGCGGUGAAAGUCUGUGGCUCAACCAUAGAAUUGCCGUUGAAACUGGGAGGCUUGAGUAUGUUUGAGGCAGGCGGAAUGCGUGGUGUAGCGGUGAAAUGCUUAGAUAUGACGAAGAACACCGAUUGCGUAGGCAGCUGACCAGACCGCAAAUGACGCUCAUGCACGAAAGUGCGGGGAUCGAACAGGAUUAGAUACCCUGGUAGUCCGCACAGUAAACGAUGAAUACUUGUUUUCGGCGAUAUAAUGUCGGAGGCAAAGCGAAAGCGAUAAGUAUUCCACCUGGGGAGUACGCCGGCAACGGUGAAACUCAAAGGAAUUGACGGGG